GAUAAGAUAGUCUAGUGUUUCCACGACAGUCGGUUCUACGUUACCGAAAUGACCCGGAUUUAUAUCCGGCCAAGGACUGUCACUCCAACAGCAUUCACCGUAUGUAAGUAUGGGGAAUGUUUAUGCUGCUACAACAACAUAGUCUAGUGCGAAAAAAGUGUAUUAAAAGAUGCCUACGAGUAUACGUAAAAAAGAGAAUAUCAUCAGCAAUAUUUCACUGGAAAUUACAUACAAUACAAAGUUUGAAAUCGGAUCUUCUUGACAUAAUUUUGGUUAUCUUAGAGGAAUUGGCUUGAAGACAAAUGAAGUGUAUGCACAGAAUACGUUUAGACAAUCGGCGAACUUGUUAGACGCAGCACCAAAUUCUAUAUAAUAAUUUGAGUUGACAAAUAUAUUUGAAUCCAAAUAAUGUAUAUCCGUAAUCGCGAAAAUCCAGCAAAUAGAUGAGCGUCUGGAGAUGAAAAUUACUUAACUCUGUAGCCAUUAAGACAGACCAUUAUUGAUAGUGCUAAAUCAACAAUAAUGCAAACAAGCUUUUCCUAAAUAAACACAUUUUCGAUAGAUCUCCUGGUGCCAAAAGUACCAUCUAGAUCACCUGAAGAGCAUGUUUAGCACCAAAUACAAAAUCUCUAAUGGUGAAAUCUCUGUCGAAAUGGCCAUAAUAUUUCUGGGAAAUCCAUUAGUCGAGGUAGACUCCGUGAUCCAUCCAUAUGAAAAUCACCAUGAUCCGGAUUAGGUGUUUGA
Anastrepha obliqua is the source of this 744-nucleotide long non-coding RNA. RefSeq lists it as uncharacterized. The record is from RefSeq and is a predicted model, not a curated record. The transcript has 3 exons. Lineage: Eukaryota; Metazoa; Arthropoda; Insecta; Diptera; Tephritidae.